Molecule: ribosomal RNA, 460 nt
Filed under: uncultured bacterium
Lineage: Bacteria
Description: partial 16S ribosomal RNA
Rfam family: Bacterial small subunit ribosomal RNA
Source: RNAcentral
CCUACGGGAGGCAGCAGUGAGGAAUAUUGGUCAAUGGCCGGAAGGCUGAACCAGCCAUGCCGCGUGAAGGUCAGUGCCCUAUGGGCGUUAAACUUCUUUUGUGCGGGAGCAAUAAUGGUCACGUGUGGCCAGACGAGAGUACCGUACGAAUAAGCAUCGGCUAACUCCGUGCCAGCAGCCGCGGUAAUACGGGGGAUGCAAGCGUUAUCCGGAUUUAAUGGGUUUAAAGGGUGCGUAGGCUGUGAGUUAAGUCAGCGGUGAAAUGCCCCCGCUCCACGGGGGGAAGUGCCAUUGAUACUGCCUGGCUGGAGUGCGGAUGCGGUGGGAGGAAUGUGUGGUGUAGCGGUGAAAUGCAUAGAUAUCACACAGAACACCGAUUGCGAAGGCAGCUCACGAAUCCGCGAUUGACGCUGAUGCACGAAAGCGUGGGUAUCAAACAGGAUUAGAUACCCGAGUAGUC